UGGAUGCUGGGACAGGUGCUAGGCUUGGCCUCGGGUGGCCUCUGUCAUGCCAGGGCAGCCCCAGCCCUCUUCUCUCCCAUGGAGAUGAACGCAAGUAAAUUGUGACCACAACCUAAGAAAGAGAAACAGGCACGUUGGUCUGGGAGGCCAGCAGACGAUGGUGUACACUCGGCUAAGGUCGUCUUGCUUCCAGAUUCGUCGAAGUUGGUUUGACUCGGAGGAUAAUAAAAAUGAGCCAUCAGUCAUUCAUUGGAAAACACAUCUCGGGCUGAUUAAAAUAUGUGAAUUUUUGCUUUAAGAAACUGCCUUGGAAUGUGAAUCAGAAUGCUGGCAAUUGUUACUUCCUAAUCACAUAGCCUAAUGUCAAUAUUCCAGAAUCUGUUGUUUUUUAAAAUUAUCUCAUAGAAUAGCUUUUAUAUCCAAAUAAAAAUGUGACAGUAGCAAAUCACAAGGGCAAUUUCUUCAAAGGUUUAACCAACUCCUAAACAUCUGCUAGCUGAGUUUAACAGUAAUUGGCAGCAUCUCACGGCAAAUUCUCUUGGCGACUCAGAGGGAAUGUAUGUUGGCAUUCCAAGACUGUUUGAAAGAAAGAGACCUAGUGCUUUAGAUCUCUGACAGCCUGCAUGAUGAAAGCGGUUUUUGUCACAGGGCCAGAAGUUUGUCUUUAUUUCCCCAGUGAAAAAUCAAAUAAACUGAUUCUGGAAU
Molecule: long non-coding RNA, 705 nt
Organism: Ochotona princeps (American pika)
Lineage: Eukaryota; Metazoa; Chordata; Mammalia; Lagomorpha; Ochotonidae
Exons: 5
Source: RefSeq, a predicted model, not a curated record